AUCAAUAUAAUUAAGGAUUCAUGCGCUCUCCUUAAUCCGAGGUCCUACGUGGCAUAUCUAAGAAUUCAAGGUUUAAAAUUCUUGCAAUUCUAGAGCCUCUAGCUCAAUUCUUUAUCACUGACGUGACAAUAUAAUUCCACAUAAGCUAUAUUUUAUAUAUACAUUAUUUUAUUUAUUAUAUUAUAGUACAUCAAAUUACAUGGCAUCAGCACCAAAAAUAUUGUAAUAAAUGAAAAAAAAAUUGGUAAUCGAUUCACCAUUCUCCUAUCCUCCACUAGAAUCCAUUUCGCCCC
This 293-nucleotide long non-coding RNA is filed under the name Salvia miltiorrhiza (redroot sage). Its description in RNAcentral is "long non-coding RNA (SMIL_LNC009520)". Lineage: Eukaryota; Viridiplantae; Streptophyta; Magnoliopsida; Lamiales; Lamiaceae. The record is from RNAcentral.